CCUACGGGUGGCAGCAGUGAGGAAUAUUGGUCAAUGGACGGAAGUCUGAACCAGCCAUGCCGCGUGCAGGAUGACGGUCCUAUGAGUGGUAAACUCCUUUUGUACGAGAGUAAACCGUGACACGUGUUUUCAGCUGAGCGUACUCUACGAACAAGCAUCGGCUAACUCCGUGCCAGCAGCCGCGGUAAUACGGAGGAUUCAAGCGUUAUCCGGAUUUAUUGGGUUUAAAGGGUGCGUAGGCGGAUUGUUAAGUUAGCGGUCAAAAGCCGGGGCUUAACCCCGGAACUGCCUCUAAAACUGUUGGUCUAGAGAGGAGGUGCGGUAGGCGGAAUGCAUGGUGUAGCGGUGAAAUGCAUAGAUAUC
RNAcentral lists this ribosomal RNA (363 nucleotides) under uncultured bacterium. RNAcentral's name for it is "partial 16S ribosomal RNA". It matches the Rfam family "Bacterial small subunit ribosomal RNA", at positions 338 to 698 of the family's 1533-position model. The record is from RNAcentral.